This 496-nucleotide ribosomal RNA is filed under the name uncultured bacterium. RNAcentral's name for it is "partial 16S ribosomal RNA". It matches the Rfam family "Bacterial small subunit ribosomal RNA", at positions 30 to 523 of the family's 1533-position model. The record is from RNAcentral.
AUUGAACGCUGGCGGAAUGCUUUACACAUGCAAGUCGAACGGUAGAGGGGGCAACCCCUCGAGAGUGGCGAACGGGUGAGUAAUAUAUCGGAACGUGCCCAGUCGUGGGAGAUAACGUUGCGAAAGUUACGCUAAUACCGCAUACGAUCUAAGGAUGAAAGCGGGGGAUCGCAAGACCUCGCGCGAUUGGAGCGGCCGAUAUCAGAUUAGGUAGUUGGUGGGGUAAAGGCUCACCAAGCCAACGAUCUGUAGCUGGUCUGAGAGGACGACCAGCCACACUGGAACUGAGACACGGUCCAGACUCCUACGGGAGGCAGCAGUGGGGAAUUUUGGACAAUGGACGCAAGUCUGAUCCAGCCAUUCCGCGUGCAGGAUGAAGGCCCUCGGGUUGUAAACUGCUUUUGUACGGAACGAAAAGGUCUCUCUUAAUACGGGGGACUCAUGACGGUACCGUAAGAAUAAGCACCGGCUAACUACGUGCCAGCCGCCGCAGUAA